AAAGUAAUUUUAUUAUAUGGAAGACAAGUUUAAUGGGCCAAUCUGGAGCUCUGGAUGACACUAGUGAGCUCUUCGAUUUUACCCUUGGCACGCUUCAAAGUACCGAGCUAAAACCUGUUAGUAUUCAUUCACAAAAUUAAAAAAAAAAAAAUUAAAUUAAAUGCACUCAAAAGGUUACUUACUCUCUUCUUGGCAAGCUUGCGAGCACGCUUGUCUUGGGAGUUACGGAUCAAUUCCAUGACACGGCGUUCAUAAGGAGCAAAUCCAGCAACUUCACGCACAAUAGAUCGGACGAAAGCAGUACGCUUGGACAAAUGUCCCUUGCGGCGAGAAGGACGCUCAGGAAGUUGACGCUUAGUCAAAGUCUUUCCCUUGUUUAAACCAACAACCAGUCCAGGUGCCAUCGUGUAAAGUCUACACUGUACCUACCGUCUGGAAAAAACUUUUGGUAGCAUGGCGUGACUGUUUUCAACCAACCCUACCCUAUCUUUUGAAAUAUUUGUGCCUUUGCCUAAGCAGGCAAAAACUCAAUGUUUGUUUUGAAUAUUGAAUAUAGUUUUCAUCCCAGGGCUACAGUUUUCAUAUGAAGUCUUUUUGUAAUCAUUUAGCCCUAAUGAAAAAAAUAAAAUUUAUGUAGAAAUUAUGUUUUGAAAUCCAGUAAGUAACAUUUAAAUUGUUUGAGUUCACGUUUAAACCGUAUUUUGUUGUUUUCUGUAUAUAUUUUCAACAUGAAUU
Molecule: non-coding RNA, 735 nt
Organism: Schizosaccharomyces pombe (fission yeast)
Lineage: Eukaryota; Fungi; Ascomycota; Schizosaccharomycetes; Schizosaccharomycetales; Schizosaccharomycetaceae
Source: the annotation of a GenBank genome assembly